CGUCUCGCAGCCCCCACUCGUUUGCCACGUUUUGGGGCGCUGGCGCUACCGGGCCUUUGAUGGGAAGAGCUAUGGCUUGGCGGGGGCUUGCACCCAGACGUUGGUGAGCACCUGUGGCACCCAGUUGCCCACCCUCCAUGUCAUGGCGGGCGGCCAGUUUGGCGCGGGACCGGGUGCCUCCUUCAGCCACGUCACGCUCCGCGGUGAUGGUUUCGAGGUCGUCCUGCACCGAGGCGAGGAGACGAUGGCGAGGGUGGCCGGGACCCGGGUCCCCCUGCCCCUCUCACUGGCAGGGGGUCGGGUGCGCCUGGAGCGAAGAGGGGGACAACGGCAGGUGGCCACGGCCAUAGGCGUGCGGGUGGCCGUUGGUGGGGACGGCGCCGUGACGGUGACGGCACCGGCAACGCUACGGGGACAGCUCUGUGGGCUCUGCGCCCAUCCUGAGGAGGGGGCCGGCGAGGGACAGGGGACACAGUGCUGUGAGUGGGGCGUGGGGACGUUAAUUGGGGACGGGGACCCCAGUUAGAGGGUCUGGAGGGAAUGGGGGACCGGGAUGGGGACAACCAAUGGGUUGGGGAUGGGCGUUGAGUUGGGAAUGGGGAUGGAGAAAUGGGUGAAGAAGGUUGAAGGGAUGAGGAAAUGGGGGAAGGAGAUUGAAGGGAUGGGGAAAUGGGAGAAAAAAUGGAGAAAUGGGUGAAGGACUUUGAAGGGAUGAGGGAAGGGAUGAGGAAAUGGAUGAAGAAGGUUGAAGGGAUGAGGAAAUGGGUGAAAGGAUGGAGAAAUGGGUGAAGGACUUUGAAGGGAUGAGGAAAUGGGUGAAGAGGGAUGAAGGGACAAGGAAAUGGGUGAAGGAGGUUGAAGAGAUGGGUGAGAAAAGAUGAAGGGAUGAAGAAAUGGGUGUAGGAGGUUGAAGGGAAGAGGAAAUGGGUGAAGGAGGUCGAAGGGAUGAGGAAAUGGGUCAAGAAGGUUGAAAGGAUGACUGAAGAAGGAUGAAGGGAUGAGGAAAUGGGUGAAGGAGGUCGAAGGGAUGAGGAAAUGGGUGAAGGAGGUUGAGGGAUGAAGAAAUGGGUGAAGGACAAUGAAGGGAUGAGGAAAUGGGUGAAAA
Molecule: long non-coding RNA, 1105 nt
Filed under: Anas platyrhynchos platyrhynchos (common mallard)
Lineage: Eukaryota; Metazoa; Chordata; Aves; Anseriformes; Anatidae
Description: lncRNA (ENSAPLG00000027793.1)
Source: RNAcentral